Long non-coding RNA from Paramacrobiotus metropolitanus, 765 nucleotides. RefSeq lists it as uncharacterized. The transcript has 3 exons. The record is from RefSeq and is a predicted model, not a curated record. NCBI's taxonomy places the organism in Eukaryota, Metazoa, Tardigrada, Eutardigrada, Parachela, Macrobiotidae.
CUUGCAGUUCUUUAUCAAGUUAAGUUUUUCUUCAUCUGCUUUCACAUCAAAACCAACCAUGAAUCUCAGUAUCUGUUUCACCAUUUGACAUCAUAUGAAACUAAUGCACACAAAAUCACGGCUGUGCAUGUACUUCGAAGUAUACAUAAUAGGAAGAAAAAAGAUACGUUUUGGAAAUACUUAUAAAGAUCCAUACGUUGUGCACAUCUAGAAGAAACCUAAUUACUGUAUAUACAGAUACACACAGUUUGUGUGAAUGUGAUUCGAAAUUUUUGAUAGAAUAUCAAUGCGAAAAUUUAAGUUUAAAAUAUGCUCCUUGACAGAUUGGCUGGAUGAGAUCCGAAGAAAUACUGAUGCUGUCGAUUUUAAGGAUGUCGGUGGUGGUUCCGCAGGAUUUUCAUGAGAAAUGGACAGAUGAAGAAAAUUCCAUUGCUGCGUGGUAUCGUUCGCAGCGUGGUUGGACCAUUUGAACGGCAACAGCAUACCCAAUGUACUGGAUACAAUGGCCAGGAUAACGGUCACUUCGAUGAAAUCAAAGAUCGAUGUCGUGAUUCUUACGUCAGCGUCUGUCGAUUGAAAUACAACGAGGCAACGCGGCUUCCGUGCUGGGGACGAUGGAAGGAGCGGAUAAAUUAGAAGAAAUUUUGCUGUUGUAAUUCUAUUUUUGUUGCCAAUUCAUGUAUUCUAACUGGCUUGUGCUAAUAAAGGGGAUGUCGUGAUUCAGAAAAAGGUUUUCGUAUGGAUUACAGUCCCAUGUGUGAAUGG